RNAcentral lists this long non-coding RNA (5489 nucleotides) under Cricetulus griseus (Chinese hamster). RNAcentral's name for it is "lncRNA (ENSCGRG00015033306.1)". The record is from RNAcentral. Lineage: Eukaryota; Metazoa; Chordata; Mammalia; Rodentia; Cricetidae.
AUUAAACUUAGUUUCAGAAAUUUAUAUACACUUUUUAUGUAACUCAAUUUCCACCACCUUCAGGAAUCUGUAGUUGAUAUAUUUGAGGAUUUUCAAUAACUUGGGUGAAGCAUCCUGAGAAACUAGAUAUCAAAGACAGAAAGCUAGGGAAGUUUACAGAUAAGUCUUAUUAUUCUGCAUAUCUCUUUCUACCAAUAAUGAGACUCUCAAGUUUUUUAAAAUACAUUUUUACUGUGAAAUGAUUUUGUUUUUUACUGUGUUUAUGCACAUGUGUGGGGGCCUGCAGAGCUCAGAAGUCAAAUCCCUUUGUAGCCAGAGUUAUAGGACUUUGUGAGCCACCACCUGAUGCUGGGAAAUAAUCUCUAGUUUUCUGGAAGAACAGCAAAUGCUUUUAACUACUGGAUAAUUUCUUCAGCUUAAAGUUCUUGUUAAACAUACUUAAAUAUUUUAAAAUUGGUGACAAAAGCCAUUCCAAUAGAGAAGUGGACAUUUGAAGUAAGGCUUCUGAGAAAUGAAGGAGAAGUUUUAGUCACCUGACCUGCCUUUUGGAUGUGAAGGGCAGGGGACAGUUGAGACUUUCAGUGGCUGCUGGUUUAGUGUUUAUGAGUGGUCAGGAAUAUGACUGGAAGAGCAACUAGGUGCUGAAGGCAAAGGUGGUAGUGAGUUGUCAGUUCUUAUCCAGAAGUAGGUAUUCCAUGAAGAACUAAAUAUUUCAUUUGGAACUCCCUAGAGAUCUGACUUAUGGUAGAAUUUUUAGGGGACAGGAUCCUAAUAUUUAAAGAGGUAAAACUUAGAACAUGCUCUAGAGAAUAUAGGAAAAGAUUGGUGGAGAAAUUGGAAAAGGUAAACACUAGUGCCAUGCAAGCUAGAGAAAAUAUGGCCUGCAUGAGCCCUUUGCAUGUGGUAGUUCUGAGGUCUGAUCUAGUUACAAGAGAGAUGCAAAAUCACAGGAUUUGCUCAAAUGCUCCUGUUAGGAAUUUUUCAAAGUAUUUCUUCACUGUGAUCCCAACCUGCCUUUGAGUAAGGGUGGCUGUAGACUAUGGACAGCAUGCCCAAGGCAUGCUGAGUUCACAUCAUUCCUUUUCUUGUACAAGUUUCCUGCUGUCACUUGCAAGCUCCAUGAAAUGUUCACAUUUCAUUAUCAUUAACUGGAAAGCAUCUAACUCAAGCAUGGAUCAAGUGACAUUUCUGCUGCCCAGUUGUCUGGAAAAACAUAAAAAAGCCAGUGAGAAACUGUGUAUAAUGAAUUGCUCAAGUUGGAAACAAGAUGUCCACACCUGAGGAGAAAAGCUAUGAAAAUCGUUUCUUGUCAAUAAUCAGCACUUUAUAAAUGAAUAUGAAAUGACCACCAGAUAAAAUGCAGCUUAGAAUUUUCAUCGAUUCCACCCCAAAUUAUUGUGUAUUGUGGAUCUCAAAGUCAGUCUGCUGGAUUUUGGGGAUACUUCCAGUAUGCAAGAAGAUGAGAAAUCCACAGAACUAGAAGACAGAUGAUGCCUUCAAUUAUUUGGAAGAAACAGAAGUGAACCCAGAGAAGAACGGAUGUUAUAGAAUAAGUAUCUGAUUAUAGGCAUAAUAAAGCAAUGUUUUGAGGGUUUGCUUUACAGUGAUGACUUUGUCUUAAGGAAGUGUUUAUAUGAGCAUGAAGGAACAAUUAGCUCUACUUCUUUAUUAAAGAUAUAGCAAGAAAGGAUCUAGAAUGGCUAACUGGUCACGCAUAUAACCUUAUCACCCUUAAACUAAAGAAAAUCUAGUUUUCAGGGCUUGCUAUGUGAUUUGUAGCAUCUGCAAAAGCCAUGCAAGGUAUCUAUGAAACCCUAUAGUUCUCAUUCAUUUAUUUUGCAUUUUACUAUAUAUUCAAAAAAACACCAUUACCAGUUUUUCAAAAUAGCAUUUUUCUCAGUUCUGGAAUUGGUUUUUCUCUUUUUUAUGACAGUUUGCUACUUUACAAGAAACUUGUAAGUAUUCUAUAGUCUUUGAGAUGCCUAAACGCCUUUCAUUCUUUGGAAACAAACAUUGGAUAAAUGAGGUGAUUGAAACCCUGUAUAGCACCGCAAAUACUUGGAUUAGAGUAUAAUGUAUCUAUUUUAUUUAAAAGUGUUAUGAUAGAAAGCUGCCAUUAUAGAUUUUAGCAUACUUUUGCUCUGGUGGCAUCUUAGGCUAUCAGUCUUGAGUGUGUUUUUCCAAAAGGGAAGAUUUGUCCUGUCAAUCAGGCUAGAGGCAGGCAGUGACAAGGGCUUGGCCUGUAUUGAGGUGCAGGUCUUUUGGAAACCUCCAUUUUUAUUUUCUUUAUUAUCUUUUUGUUCUUUUUGUAUGUGAAGUGUAAAAUUUCUUAUUUCCAAAUGGAGUAGGCUCUUCCUCCUUUUCUACUGGCCUUUUGGAAGAAAAAGCAACUCCUUCUCAGUUGUGGGCUGUGAAAAGAUGAAACUGUCAGAGAGCCGAUAAAGCACAUAAUGGCUAGCAAUGUUCUGUCUUCUGGGGUUAGAGACAAAAUAGUUGAUUCAGCUAGGUCACUUGGUGUGCUAUUCAUUGCCCUGUGACUCAGUAGGGGUCCCUUGACAUUUUCUGGGACCCCCUCACUCAUAGUAGUUGCUCAUUGUCGUGGGGACAACUGAUGGCUUCCAAAUUCCCAUCUCAGAUUUUUUUUUUUUAUGAGUAGAAAGUAGAAAGUAAAAGUGAAAAAUACCAUAUUAAAAACAACAUUUAGAGAUCAAUGAGGGACAUUCCAUGGGAAAUGAAUUUUGAUUGAUUGCAAAAUCAGCUUGAUUCACUCAGCUCGUCUUUGGCUUAAAAAUAAGUUUUCCUUGUUUUUUGCACUGUGUUUGAAAUAUUUACUCUUGCUGGAAGUUGCCAUGGAAUGAAUAUAGAUACUGGACAAGAAGAAAAUGUAACAUGUAUAGAGUUGAGUUGGAUACACAAAGGAAGUUAUGGUAAAUUGUAUGUUUGUACACAGCUGUACAAACAUUCUAGGUAUAAGUUCUUCAGAGGACAUUUUCUUUUAUAGUAUGGAUAUAUUUUUUUUCUAUGUAGAUAUGGGAACAGUUUUCUAGGCAAUGUUGAUUAAAUAAAAGUAACAUUGUUUUACUUAGUAGUAAAGAUAAGGUGUUUGAAGAAAAACAGUGGAACAAAAUAAGAAAGAGAAAAUAUUUAUUGAAAUGGGUGGACUAGAAUUUUUGGCUUUUGGAGUCCCCUCUGCUUUUCAGAGAGGAUCCUUUUCCCUUUGUGUCUGCUGUGUGCAUGUGUUUCUCACCCCCCAAUAAACUCUUUUCUUUAACUGUUGAUUCUAUCUGUAUUAUUUGAGAUUUUCUCUGCUUCUACCUGUUGCACUUUAGAUUUUUCUCUUCCUAGAAAACUCACCCUUUCAAGACCCCUAGAAAGUAUCCAUUUUAAGGCCCAUAGAUUGUAUCAAUAAGGUGGCUAAUUGGCCCACAGUUGUCUAACAUGUCCUGAUCUGGCCUGGAAUUUGAGCCAGUCCAUCAGUAUUGGCCCUGCUGACAGAGAAAACAAAAGCUUACAAGACCUGUGUUUCAGGUUGCCAGUUUUUGUCUCCGGUCAGGAAGUUAAGAAGCCAGCCAUCUUGGAAGUUCACCACCCUUCUUACCUAGUCGUGGUCUCUCUCCCUAUCUGUCUACCUUUCAGAGAAUCUAACACCUAGUCCCUCAGUGCUGUUUUAAAGAGGAAGCCUUGAUAAGGUAGGAGGUUAAGUCAGGUGUCACUCCUCAGAAAUCUUCCAUUUUGUUUUCUAAGACAUGAUCUCCUGGUUACCAGUUUCUCUCAGGCUCUCUUUUCUUUUCACUUGCUUUCUCCACCCUUUCUGUAUUUGAUCAAAACACAGGUGCAGUACAGCACAAUGCCAUGACAAGAUAAUCUAGAGGCUCUAACUCAGGGGUGCCCUCAUUCGGUCUGCUAGUUCACUGGAGCUUUCUUCUGUAAGACCCACUGGUUAAAAGCACUGAAGACUUCCUACUGGUCCUCUUUUUUUUUUUUUUUUCUUUUUUUUUUCUUUUUUUCUUUUUUUUCUGAGACAGGGUUUCUCUGUAUUGCUUUGGAGUCUGGUCCUGGUACUCAAUUUGUAGACCAGGCUGGCCUUGAACUCACAGAGAUCCGGCUGCCUCUACCUCCCAAGUCCUGGAUUAACAGUGUGCAUCACCAAUGCCCGUCUUUGAUAAUAUGGAGUUGUAACAGUUACGGUUACCUGUUUGUGUUCCAGGCCCAUUUGGUCAUUUAGAGACUUAGAACAUGCUCUGAGGAACUAGAUACUGACCUCUGUUUUGCCUUUGUCCCUCAUCCACCCCAAAUUUUCUGUAGAUACUCACUUGGUUGAAGAUUCCAAUAGCCAAGAUUGGCUAAGAAUUCCUGGAAUUCUCCACUGGCCCAUAGCUCAAAACUGGCCCAAAUUCAAAAUUUUUAUUUUUUUAAAGAUCUAAACUGAUUUAAAUAACUCAAUAAGAUGGUCCAUUCCUUCCCUACCCCUUUCCCCCCAAAAUCUCCAACCUUCCCAAGCUCACUUAAAUCUUUCUCAAGGCUGUGGCUUACAGCUAUACCGAGAGCCAGAAUGCCUACUUCUGUUUCUGUAGGGCCUCCGAAUUUGUAUCUACUCCUGAGAUAGCUCAGAACUCUUUUGCCUUAUGCUUUUGGCCUAUGGUUUUUCCUCUCCAAGCCUGAAAAAUCCUGCCUAUAUCAUUAACAGCUAAGAGGUAAAAGUGUUUCAAUUUGUCUGCUCCCAUCUUCAGAUGUAUGCAAACUCGGUUUGGGUAUGGAGAUGUAUGGGUUCAGUCUUCCAGAGUCCAUUGUCUUUGGGUAUGAAUAACACUGAAAAGUUGUCUCAUGCUGUUACUCUACUAAGAAGGCUGGCUCUCCAGUUGAACUUUGGCCCAUCUGCUCCAGACCCAAGCAUGCUUGUUUAAACCUUUAUGCCAAAGUCUCUGUCCUGAGUCAGGGUGACUGCCUGACUCUGUGACAAGGAGAAGGAGAGCCAAAGAGAACAUCCCCUUGAUAACAAAUAAAUAAACUAUUCCUCAUAGAGGUUACAAAUGGCAAGAUGCUUAACUCCAUGAAUUCUCCUCCCUUUGUUUUUGUUUACUGUUGUUAAAGCUUUUGUUGAAACUGGAGCCUUCAGCAUUUUAGGAUUUGUAAGUUCAGUGAGUGUGAUUUAAAAAUGGUCUGUACACCUUAAUCUUACUUUGCUAUAAUAAGCCAUAUGUAUAACUAGGAUUCAACUCUUGCUUAGGAAAAGGAGCGUGCUCAGUGGAUUCACCACAAUGUGUCUUGCCACCUUCUUGGUUUGUGACCUGGUUGGGAUGGAAGCAUGCCCGUGAUAUUACUGCAGCUUUGGUAGAGCCCUCAUCCAGCAGCUGGUGGAAGUAGAAGCAGACAUCCAUAACUAAUCGCGGAACUGAACUGGAACCCAGAUGCAGACAAUGACGAGUGAAGAGCAAAGGGGUCUAGACCAGGCUGGUGAAACCCACAGAAACAGCUGACCUGAACAUCGG